This 79-nucleotide transfer RNA is filed under the name Fusarium oxysporum f. sp. melonis 26406. RNAcentral's name for it is "tRNA-Leu (GAG) (tRNA-Leu-GAG-1-1)". The record is from RNAcentral. Lineage: Eukaryota; Fungi; Ascomycota; Sordariomycetes; Hypocreales; Nectriaceae.
UCCGCUUUGGCGCAGUUGGCAGCGUGAACCGCGAUAUCUAGAGGCGGUAGAGUCCAAGGUUCGAGUCCUUGAAGCGGAA